This 503-nucleotide small RNA is filed under the name Pongo abelii (Sumatran orangutan). RNAcentral's name for it is "retained intron". The record is from RNAcentral. Lineage: Eukaryota; Metazoa; Chordata; Mammalia; Primates; Hominidae.
UUUGCCGCAAGCAGGCCGGUGUUGCCAUCGGAAGACUGUGUGAAAAAUGUGAGUGGAACACACCGUCCCAACAACCCACCCUUCCCACUCCCAGUUUCUGUGGAACCAGCAAAAGUGCCACAAAGAGGGCUUUGAGUAGAUAUACCUGGAAGUGAUGGCAAGUGUGUGAUUUGUGACUCCUAUGUGCGUCCCUGCACUCUGGUGCGUAUAUGUGAUGAGUGUAACUAUGGAUCUUACCAGGGGCGCUGUGUGAUCUGUGGAGGACCUGGGGUCUCUGAUGCCUAUUAUUGUAAGGAGUGCACCAUCCAGGAGAAGGACAGAGAUGGCUGCCCAAAGAUUGUCAAUCUGGGGAGCUCUAAGACAGACCUCUUCUAUGAACGCAAAAAAUAUGGCUUCAAGAAGAGGUGAUUGGUGGGUGGCCCCUUCCUCCCCCCAACAUCAGUCUGCUGCAGCUGCCAGAAAACAUGCCUACUACUACCAGCAGAAAGGGAGCAGAGCCCAGA